RNAcentral lists this ribosomal RNA (253 nucleotides) under uncultured bacterium. Its description in RNAcentral is "partial 16S ribosomal RNA". It matches the Rfam family "Bacterial small subunit ribosomal RNA", at positions 524 to 776 of the family's 1533-position model. The record is from RNAcentral.
UACGUAGGGGGCAAGCGUUGUCCGGAAUCAUUGGGCGUAAAGAGCGUGUAGGCGGCCCGGUAAGUCCGCUGUGAAAGUCCAGGGCUCAACCCUGGGAUGCCGGUGGAUACUGUCGGGCUUGAGUCCGGAAGAGGAGUGUGGAAUUCCUGGUGUAGCGGUGAAAUGCGCAGAUAUCAGGAGGAACACCAAUGGCGAAGGCAGCACUCUGGGACGUGACUGACGCUGAGACGCGAAAGCGUGGGGAGCGAACAGG